UUGGUUACCCAUAUGGCCAUC
RNAcentral lists this microRNA (21 nucleotides) under Arabidopsis thaliana (thale cress). RNAcentral's name for it is "ath-miR774a". Its record names the gene ath-miR774a. The record is from miRBase by way of RNAcentral. Lineage: Eukaryota; Viridiplantae; Streptophyta; Magnoliopsida; Brassicales; Brassicaceae.